This 2174-nucleotide long non-coding RNA is filed under the name Homo sapiens (human). RNAcentral describes it as "HSALNT0210667". The record is from RNAcentral. Lineage: Eukaryota; Metazoa; Chordata; Mammalia; Primates; Hominidae.
GGUUAAAUCAUACUAGAGAUCACAUGAAGACAUUCUAAAAUCACACUAUAAAAAUUGCUGAUAUAGGAGGAAAGGCUUACAAGAAUGUCUUUCAAACCCUUUUAUCCAACAAGUUAUUCAUCUUUUACUUUUCUUUCUUCCAACCUUAUCCUCUAUGAUACUAUUUUACUUUCUAAAUGAAUACAGUUUUGCCAUUUCGAUAGGACAAACAAUUUGACCUCUAAAAGAAACUUUGAAAUCCAAAAGUCUAUAAAGAAUUAAGGCCUGAAUUUAAGACUUAAGGCCAAUUCUUUAGACACAAUUCUCUACUUCUAAAAAUGCUAAGGUUGUAAUUUGGAAAAAACAGCAGAAUAAAGACUGCUAUGGGACCUCAAAUUUUAAAAAUUGUUUAACUGUGGUAUUCUAAAUUAUCAUACAAUCAGAUUAAGUUGGUGGAACUAAAACAGGGCGCAUUACCUCAAACAGCCAGCAUUUACAAGAACCAAAUUGAUUUUUUUUUCUUACAAAAGUCAGGCAACUUCCAAAUUAAGUCACUUUUUACCAUAUACCCUGGAGAAUAACAUGGCCCGACACACCACACGUCCCACUUAUCUAGUUCAAGCGAGUAACAUAACGUGAGAAACUGCACUGUGUAAUUCCUUUAUUUUCUGCAUAUUAGUGCUUUACCAACACUACAACCAUAAAGAACACAAUUCCAAGUACUGUACUUUUUAGUUUGGGGAGAUCACAGUCUACAGACUCAUUUACUUAUAUUAAACAAGAUUAACCUCAUUCAAAACUUACUGCAGUUUAUAAAUUCACAUAAAUACAGAAAUGGUACAUUUAAGAUUUAACAUGAGGGUUUCAAGUUUCCUCCAGUUUAGGCAUUUAUACCUUUGUGCUUGUUUUGUUUCAGGAUGUUACUAUAGCAUUGAUAUUGGAUAACCCAUAUUUAUAUACUUUAAAAUGCAAUCAUUUGAAACACUAAAAAUUACAUUUAUGGUGGAGCUUUGGAAAUUUUAGAAAGCAACCAGUGUUCUUAGAUGUGUUUAUCAGCCUCAUUUCUAGAGCUCUUUCUACUAAAGUGAAACUGAGAACUUCGUACUUUAGUUGUAUCCUGAAAUCAAAAAAAUCCCUCUGCACCAACAGGAGCCUACAUGAGAAUACCCUUUUGCAUCUGCUUUAAGUAAAAUGUUUGUUAAGAGUUUUACUUUGAAUAGUUCAUUUUUUUAUAGUCUUACACUUCUCAUACAUCUUUGGUAAAAGCUCCAUUAUACAAUAUGGCCAAAGUGUGAAGGACCAAUACUGUCCAACUAUACCAUGAUAUCCCGCUCAAUUUUAGUUUUCAGACACCCUCAUAAACAAAACCCACUCCACCUUUUCCUGUAUACUGCCUUUGCAGUCUACAUUUCUGAAAUUCCCUAUUUAAUUCCUUGAGGAUCACUAAAAUUAAUCCUUAAGGCUAUAUAGGAACCAGAUGCUGCUUUACAAUUCUGCAUCAAGCAUUAACAUUUGGUUCAAAAUAUUAUCAUAGUGGUCGCAAUCCAGUUACUGGUCCUAACCAGCUAACCAAGUAAUCUUGUUAGGAUCUGGAUAUCACCAGCGAGCACACUGCUUACACAUGAAGAAAAAUAAGUUUACAUUCAUUGUCAUCUGUAGGUUCUUUCUCUUCAUCCUACGUCCCCUUUAAUAGUCAUCCCUCAAGUCUACACAUCAUUCAUUCAUCACGCUUCCUUCCUUAAAGGAGACAGUGUACUAUUGAACCAACAGGAUAUCUUUUUUAUUAUUUGCAUGAGUUAAUCCUACAAACAAAAUUAAAUACCUCUUUUAUAAAACAUCUUUUCCAGUGUUCUAAUUGAUGGAGAUGCGGAUCACUCAUCUAUAAAAAAUGACUUACAGCUUCAGCUUAAUCAGUUGCUAUAAUGUGAAAACAGGAAUGUGUAUUUUUUUCAACUAGGUAAAAGGUGCAACUGGAACAUAUUACAAUAUUACUCAUUAUUUGCCACUGUGGGCUAAGUUUACUAUACUGGUCUUAGAUAUAAAAGGUCACAUUUGAAAUUACUAAGUUAGAACUCAUAAGGAAGGGGGGGGAAGGCCUUAAAUAUAAAAGACAAACGGCAGUUUGAUUAAGCAAUAAUUUUCAGUUUACUAGAUGAAACAGACUUGCAACAUAGUCUGCAUGAAUGCAAAAUAAG